Molecule: long non-coding RNA, 1485 nt
Filed under: Gallus gallus (chicken)
Lineage: Eukaryota; Metazoa; Chordata; Aves; Galliformes; Phasianidae
Description: lncRNA (ENSGALG00010028672.1)
Source: RNAcentral
AGGGGCUGCUGCCUCACCCGUACAGAGCCCCCCGUCCUGGGUUGUGCCCAGCUUUGGGUGACGCCUCAGCCAAUGGGAAUGGGCAGCGGUCACCCCAAAAUUUGGGGUCUGGGUGGCAGAGGUGACUGCAGCCCAGGUGCCCUCAGGCAAUGGGGACGGUCCCCUCCAUGUCCCCGGGCCGGGAGGGGGAUUGUGAAUGCAGAGAGGAGCUGAGACACCCGAGGAAAAUGUGGGGGCUGGGGUAAGAGACACUGAUUGAAUAGCAAUGACUGCAUGAUUUAUGGUUUGCAUUAUUGCAUGCUUCAUUUGAAUAUAUGCUAAUAAGGCUUUUCUCCUCGUUUUGUUUGUAAGAUUUAGAUUUGCUAUGGCAACCCGCUGGCAUGGAAGGAACGCCAGGAAAUGUCAGGGCGAGAACUGUGGGAUGCCACAUUGCGCUGACUCCAAAGAUCACACCGAGGAACCUGCAGCUUUUCAGAGGGGGACAAUGCUCAGGAUGGCACUGGGAAGAGAUGAAGCACUGCUCUGCAUUCCCCACCCACCCAUCCUGCAUGGCCCUGAUUCUCCAGGAUCUGGGCCGCCUCUGUGGCUCUGCGUUCCUUCCCAUCAAGCUGGGGAGCCACCCCAUUAAAACCCGUUACCUGCAGGCCCAGCGUGGCCAGGGAAUGUGCUGCUCCAGGAGGGUGCUGUGCUCUGGUGCUGGGGGCUGCAGAGAUGGUAGGGCUUUGUCCCCUGCUCUGCGCUGUCACACCUUCAUCCAGGCAGCAGCUGCAGGGGGGCAGAGCUCUGUGUGCCCCAACUUGAGUGGCUGCAGACCUUGCAGCCCAAGGGUCUGUUUGCUGGAGAAGAAGCAUGCUGUCUGGUUUUGGGGUCCCCGCCCCGCAGUGGUGUGGGAGCAGCCCCAUGGGAAUGGAUCACAGCCCAGAGGGACAGGGGCUGAUUCUCUGUGUUCCUUGGGGUUAUGGUGAUAGAGGGGGUGGGAGGACCAUCUCCUGUCAGAUCCCUACGGCCACGUAUGAACACAGAGCAGUGCCAGGAGGGCUCUGCGGCUGAGCACUGCAUGUCCCUGCAGCCACCCGAUGGGACGGACCGGGACCCCUCUCCAUUUCACGCCCUUUAACUCAGGGUUCGAGCUCCGGGCUGGGGACGAGGGGCUGGGAUCCCGCAGCACGGCGUUGUCCGGCCCCUCCUCGCUUCCCGUCGCAGCAAACCGGGGCCGAGCUGAGAACCGGGAAGGGGGGUGUUGCCGAGCCCCCUCCUCCCCGCGUCGGUGCAUCCUCCCCGAACUCCCUCUCGGUUGUUUUGCACAAACCCUGAAAUAUUCAUGGCACUGCGCCGAGUGUCUCUUAAUGAAUUUUUCAUCAAAACCUUAUCAGGGAGCCAAAAUACACCUCUCCCCCACCCCAAACUCCAGCCGAAAUCGAGGAGGGACCGGGCCCGCCGGUACCGUGCCGCCGGAGGAGCCGAGCCCGGCCCGAGGGCGACGGC